This 562-nucleotide ribosomal RNA is filed under the name uncultured Glomeromycotina. RNAcentral describes it as "SSU rRNA". It matches the Rfam family "Eukaryotic small subunit ribosomal RNA", at positions 549 to 1114 of the family's 1831-position model. Lineage: Eukaryota; Fungi; Glomeromycota. The record is from RNAcentral.
UGGAGGGCAAGUCUGGUGCCAGCAGCCGCGGUAAUUCCAGCUCCAAUAGCGUAUAUUAAAGUUGUUGCAGUUAAAAAGCUCGUAGUUGAAUUUUAGGCCUGGCCGGACGGUCCGUCUUUGGCGAGUACUGUUCUGUCGUCGGGUCUAUCCUUCUGGUGAGCCGGUAUGUUCUUAAUUGGGCGUGCCGGGGAACCAGGACCAUUACCUUGAAAAAAUUAGAGUGUUUAAAGCAGGCUUUUGCUUGAAUAGAUUAGCAUGGAAUAAUAGAAUAGGACGUUGUGGUUCUAUUUUGUUGGUUUUAGGACCACCGUAAUGAUUAAUAGGGAUAGUUGGGGGCAUUAGUAUUCAAUUGUCAGAGGUGAAAUUCUUGGAUUUAUUGAAGACUAACUACUGCGAAAGCAUUUGCCAAGGAUGUUUUCAUUAAUCAAGAACGAAAGUUAGGGGAUCGAAGACGAUCAGAUACCGUCGUAGUCUUAACCAUAAACUAUGCCGACUAGGAAUCGGGCGUCGUUAUUUUCACGACUCGCUCGGCGCCUUAUGGGAAACCAAAGUGUUUGGGUUC